Non-coding RNA from Caenorhabditis elegans, 149 nucleotides. Lineage: Eukaryota; Metazoa; Nematoda; Chromadorea; Rhabditida; Rhabditidae. The record is from Ensembl.
CCUUGUUGUGUGUGCCAAGGUCGCAACUCCUCGCAAUUUCGAACAGACCGACAGACGUCUCAUACACCUGGAUCCAUAACACCUGCAAAAUUGGUAGUCACGGAAAGGCAUGACAGAGGACGACACGUAUAAAUCACUUGUCCUCCUUU